This 556-nucleotide ribosomal RNA is filed under the name uncultured archaeon. Its description in RNAcentral is "bacterial SSU rRNA". It matches the Rfam family "Archaeal small subunit ribosomal RNA", at positions 326 to 883 of the family's 1478-position model. The record is from RNAcentral.
CGGGGUGCAGCAGGCGCGAAAACUUUACAAUGCACGAAAGUGUGAUAAGGGAAUCCAAAGUGCUCAUGUUUAACAUGGGCUUUUGCCAAGGGUAAAUACCUUGGAGAAUAAGUGGUGGGUAAGACUGGUGCCAGCAGCCGCGGUAACCCCAGCGCCACAAGUGGGAGCCACAAUUAUUUGGCCUAAAGCGUCCGUAGCUGGUUAUGUAAAUCUUUUGUGAAAUCGGAAGGCUCAACUUUCCGGCGUGCAGAAGACACUGCAUAACUUGAGAUUGGGAGGGGUAAGGAGUAUCCCUAGGGAACCGGUAAAAUGGGAUAAUCCUAGGAGGACUACCUGUGGCGAAGGCGCCUUACCAGAACAAGUCUGACAGUGAGGGACGAAGGCUAGGGGAGCGAACCGGAUUAGAUACCCGAGUAGUCCUAGCAGUAAACUCUGCGGGCUAGGUGUUACACCAUCUAUGUGAUUGUGUAGUGUCGUAGCGAAGGCAUUAAGCCCGCCGCCUGGGAAGUAUGGUCGCAAGACUGAAACUUAAAGGAAUUGGCGGGGGAGCACAAGG